This 339-nucleotide ribosomal RNA is filed under the name Triticum aestivum (bread wheat). Its description in RNAcentral is "partial small subunit ribosomal RNA". Lineage: Eukaryota; Viridiplantae; Streptophyta; Magnoliopsida; Poales; Poaceae. The record is from RNAcentral.
AUGAGCAUUAUAAGUUGGAACUGCCGAGGGCUUGGGAACCCCGAGGCAGUUCGAGAGCUUCGCAGUGUGGUGAAGCAAUAAGGGCCCGCCCUCCUCUUUGUUAUGGAAACAAAGAUAACGGCAGCAAGGGUGGAGAAUCUGAAGUUUACUUUGGGUUUUGAUGGAUGUUUCGUGGUUAAUAGCAUCGGUCUCAGUGGAGGCAUCGGAUUGUUUUGGUCCAAAGAUGUUUCUGUUGAGCUCAAAAUUAUGGUGCCGGCCACAUUGAUGUUGUGGUGCGGAAUAAGGAUCAAAACUCCUUCGAGUGGAGAUUCACUGGUUUCUAUGGCGCACCAAGGGUAA